Long non-coding RNA from Equus caballus (horse), 1490 nucleotides. RefSeq lists it as uncharacterized. NCBI's taxonomy places the organism in Eukaryota, Metazoa, Chordata, Mammalia, Perissodactyla, Equidae. The record is from RefSeq and is a predicted model, not a curated record.
ACAUUAUUUCUUGGUAAUUGUCAAAGGGAUGUUUUGCAUUUUUUUAGAUCUCAGCUACAUCUAAAGAAAGUGAAUUGAUAAGACCCUCUAAAAUUAGAAAGUUGUAGCAUUAUGCCGUAAUAGAUGUCUUAAUAAUUCAACUUGUCAUGCAGCAUGCAAUUAAAACUUUCCUUUGGGACUCAAGAGAGAAAUCCCAGUUUCUUCUAAAGAAGUUUAGCCAAUACAUAACGAGAAGAAUAAUUCAAGUAAAUGGGACUGAAUUUCAUAGAGAAAAGGAAAAUAAAAACAAAAAUCUUUUUAACAAGGAAAUUAAUUAUCACUGCACUUGAUGAUUUUAUAGGUUUUAUAAUCUCACUUAUUAGAUCUUUUUAUUAUUCCCAAUUAAAGCAGUAUUAUUAUUUUUCAUUUGGUAGAGAAAGGGGCAUUAAAUUUCUUUCAUGAAACCAUCAGCCAAAAUUAUCCUUCUUUUCUAGAAUAAGCAUAACUGAUACUACGUAUUACUUUGAUUUAAAAGGAAUAUAUGCUACCACUGACAUUAUAUUUCGCUAACAUAGUGGAAGAAUUUUGAGUGAGCUUAAUCAAAGAAGUUUAUUUUUAUAUAUUUAUAGCUAUAUCAAUAUCCAUAUUGACAUUUUCCUAUCCUUUGUAUCUGAUUAUCUUAUGUAUGCUUUCUCUAAUCCUGUAGUAAGACAAGUCAUUUUGUUUUAUAUCAGCUGGAGUGUAAAACAUUGGAUGAUAGCCAUGUAAAUGAUUUUUUUUUCUGUGCUUACUGUUAUGACUAAAUUGUCUAUAGAUCAUUUGCGCUAUUUCAUUGAUUCUAAGAUGCCCAAUUCUUCUUUUACAUUUAACAUCUCUGAAAUAAGGAGAGUAAGUGAUCUAUCGUAAUUAAAUCCUUAGUACUUUUUCUUUCUAGGGGGUUCAAAGCAUAAUGUACAAAUAUACCUUUCACAGUUAACAGUUGCAGAUUCAAUAAAAUACUCAGUAUUGGGGCCACCUCUCAGAGUGUAGCACAGUUUGGCAAAGACUGCCUAUUGUCCUGCAAUAAUCAUUUUGCCACAUUUUCAAAAUUUUAGCUGACAUAGAGCCAAAAAAAUCUAAGUUUUACCAGACCACCUUAAAGGUUACGGUCUUGGUUUGCUAAGGCUGUCUUAACAAAGAACUACAAACGGAGUGGCUUAAACAAACUUAUUGUCUCACAGUUCUAGAAGCUUGAGGUCUAGGAUUAAAGUGCCAGGAGGGCCACACUCCCACUGAAGAUGCCAGGAAAAACUCUGUUCCAGCCUCUCUCCCAGUGUCUGGUAGUUCCUUGGCUUAUGGCAGCUUAAUUCCAAUCCUCAUCUGGCGUUCAUGUUUGCCUCUUUGCAUGAUAAACAUUUUCAAUGGAGAUGAUGAAAUCAGUGCAGACAAGGCUGCUUUUAUUUAAAAAGGGGAAUGAAAAGCAUGCUUUUUAAACUAGUGGAUUGGCAAAUAAAGUCAAAGGUUUUGAAAGA